Molecule: ribosomal RNA, 133 nt
Filed under: uncultured bacterium
Lineage: Bacteria
Description: partial 16S ribosomal RNA
Source: RNAcentral
AGGUAACGUCAAUCCGCAAGGGUAUUAUCCUUACAGCCUUCCUCCCUACUGAAAGUGCUUUACAACCCGAAAGCCUUCUUCACACACGCGGCAUGGCUGGAUCAGGGUUGCCCCCAUUGUCCAAUAUUCCCGA